Molecule: ribosomal RNA, 645 nt
Filed under: uncultured Pichia
Lineage: Eukaryota; Fungi; Ascomycota; Saccharomycetes; Saccharomycetales; Saccharomycetaceae
Description: eukaryotic LSU rRNA
Rfam family: 5.8S ribosomal RNA (bases 238-391)
Source: RNAcentral
CUUGGUCAUUUAGAGGAAGUAAAAGUCGUAACAAGGUUUCCGUAGGUGAACCUGCGGAAGGAUCAUUACAGUAUUCUUUUGCCAGCGCUUAACUGCGCGGCGAAAAACCUUACACACAGUGUCUUUUUGAUACAGAACUCUUGCUUUGGUUUGGCCUAGAGAUAGGUUGGGCCAGAGGUUUAACAAAACACAAUUUAAUUAUUUUUACAGUUAGUCAAAUUUUGAAUUAAUCUUCAAAACUUUCAACAACGGAUCUCUUGGUUCUCGCAUCGAUGAAGAACGCAGCGAAAUGCGAUAAGUAAUAUGAAUUGCAGAUUUUCGUGAAUCAUCGAAUCUUUGAACGCACAUUGCGCCCUCUGGUAUUCCAGAGGGCAUGCCUGUUUGAGCGUCAUUUCUCUCUCAAACCCCCGGGUUUGGUAUUGAGUGAUACUCUUAGUCGGACUAGGCGUUUGCUUGAAAAGUAUUGGCAUGGGUAGUACUGGAUAGUGCUGUCGACCUCUCAAUGUAUUAGGUUUAUCCAACUCGUUGAAUGGUGUGGCGGGAUAUUUCUGGUAUUGUUGGCCCGGCCUUACAACAACCAAACAGGUUUGACCUCAAAUCAGGUAGGAAUACCCGCUGAACUUAAGCAUAUCAAUAAGCGGAGGA